GAGUCAUCUAUCUUUGGCGAAAAUGGUAAACGCGUCGGAUUCAAGAUCUGAAAAUGCGGGUUCGAUUCCUGCAUGAUUUA
RNAcentral lists this transfer RNA (80 nucleotides) under Nannocystis sp. RBIL2. RNAcentral's name for it is "tRNA-Leu". It matches the Rfam family "tRNA". From Rfam's summary of the family: Transfer RNA (tRNA) molecules are approximately 80 nucleotides in length. Lineage: Bacteria; Pseudomonadati; Myxococcota; Nannocystales; Nannocystaceae. The record is from RNAcentral. RNAcentral also lists the same sequence under 1 other name.